GUGGGGAAUAUUGGGCAAUGGGGGAAACCCUGACCCAGCGACGCCGCGUGAGUGAUGAAGGCCUUCGGGUCGUAAAGCUCUGUCAUCGGGGACGAACGGCCUCAGCAGGUAAUGGCUGGGGAUUGACGGUACCCGAGAAGGAAGCCACGGCUAACUACGUGCCAGCAGCCGCGGUAAUACGUAGGUGGCAAGCGUUGUCCGGAAUUAUUGGGCGUAAAGCGCGCGCAGGUGGGAUCUUAAGUCCAUUUUGAAAGUUCGGAGCUCAACUCCGUGAUGGGAUGGAAACUGGGAGUCUUGAGUACCGGAGAGGAAAGCGGAAUUCCCCGUGUAGCGGUGAAAUGCGUAGAUAUGGGGAGGAACACCAGUGGCGAAGGCGGCUUUCUGGACGGUGUCUGACACUGAGGCGCGAAAGCCAGGGGAGCGAACGGGAUUAGAAACCCGUGUAGUCC
RNAcentral lists this ribosomal RNA (449 nucleotides) under uncultured bacterium. RNAcentral describes it as "partial 16S ribosomal RNA". It matches the Rfam family "Bacterial small subunit ribosomal RNA", at positions 354 to 796 of the family's 1533-position model. The record is from RNAcentral.